UACGGGGGGGGCAAGCGUUGUUCGGAAUUACUGGGCGUAAAGGGCUCGUAGGCGGCCAACUAAGUCAGACGUGAAAUCCCUCGGCUUAACCGGGGAACUGCGUCUGAUACUGGAAGGCUUGAAUCCGGGAGAGGGAUGCGGAAUUCCAGGUGUAGCGGUGAAAUGCGUAGAGAUGUGGAGGAACACCGAUGGCGAAGGCAGCCCCCUGGGUCAAAACUGACGCUCAUGCACGAAAGCGUGGGGAGCAAACAGG
This 253-nucleotide ribosomal RNA is filed under the name uncultured bacterium. RNAcentral's name for it is "partial 16S ribosomal RNA". It matches the Rfam family "Bacterial small subunit ribosomal RNA", at positions 524 to 776 of the family's 1533-position model. The record is from RNAcentral.